This 70-nucleotide transfer RNA is filed under the name Zootermopsis nevadensis. It matches the Rfam family "tRNA". From Rfam's summary of the family: Transfer RNA (tRNA) molecules are approximately 80 nucleotides in length. Lineage: Eukaryota; Metazoa; Arthropoda; Insecta; Blattodea; Termopsidae. The record is from Rfam by way of RNAcentral.
ACCACGGUGGUCUAGCGGUCAUAACGCUGGCCUUGUAAUCCUGGGGUCUCGGGUUCGAUUCCCGGCGGUG